GAUGAAACAAUCCAAAACGAGUCUUUGAGACUUGUUUACUGUGUGAACUGUACGCAAUCUUUUAGGGGUCGGUCUCUGUGCCGUUAAAUGGUCGUGCGUUCGGUCAGCCCCGACUUUAUGUUUUUAUAAACUUUGUUUAUUCAGUCUGAGACCCAAUAGUGUUGGAAAACAAAAAAGAGAGACA
Molecule: unclassified non-coding RNA, 184 nt
Filed under: Pavona decussata
Lineage: Eukaryota; Metazoa; Cnidaria; Anthozoa; Scleractinia; Agariciidae
Description: ITS1
Source: RNAcentral